This is a transfer RNA of Gloeophyllum trabeum ATCC 11539, 73 nucleotides long. It matches the Rfam family "tRNA". From Rfam's summary of the family: Transfer RNA (tRNA) molecules are approximately 80 nucleotides in length. Their secondary structure includes four short double-helical elements and three loops (D, anti-codon, and T loops). The record is from Rfam. Lineage: Eukaryota; Fungi; Basidiomycota; Agaricomycetes; Gloeophyllales; Gloeophyllaceae.
GACCAGGUAGCUCAGUUGGUAGAGCUCCUGGGUAUAUGCCAGGUGGUCCCAGGUUCAAUCCCUGGUCUGGUCA